ACUUUGCUGACGUGUGCCAGGUAGCACGAAACCCGGGUCCAGAGU
This 45-nucleotide non-coding RNA is filed under the name Schistosoma curassoni. The record is from RNAcentral. Lineage: Eukaryota; Metazoa; Platyhelminthes; Trematoda; Strigeidida; Schistosomatidae.